RNAcentral lists this ribosomal RNA (494 nucleotides) under uncultured bacterium. RNAcentral describes it as "partial 16S ribosomal RNA". It matches the Rfam family "Bacterial small subunit ribosomal RNA", at positions 28 to 507 of the family's 1533-position model. The record is from RNAcentral.
GACGAACGCUGGCGGCGUGCUUAACACAUGCAAGUCGAACGGUGAAGCGCCUUCCUUUUUGGUGGGUGUGGAUGAGUGGCGAACGGGUGAGUAACACGUUAGUAACCUGCCCCCUUCUUCUGGAUAACCGCAUGAAAGUGUGGCUAAUACGGGAUAUUCUGGGUCUGUCGCAUGAUGGGUCUGGGAAGGUUAUUGUUUCGGUUGGGGAUGGGCUCGCGGCCUAUCAGCUUGUUGGUGGGGUGAUGGCCUACCAAGGCGGUGACGGGUAGCCGGCCUGAGAGGGUCGACGGCCACACUGGGACUGCGCCGCGGAGCCGCCUCCGACGGGAGGCAGCAGGGAAGAAUAUUGCACGAUGGGCGCACGGCUGAAGCAGCGACGCGGCGUGGGGGAUGGAGGCCUUCGCGUUGUGAACCUCUUUCGCCAGUGAAGCAGGCCUGCCGCGUCUGUGGGUGGGUUGACGGUAGCUGGAUAAGAAGCGCCGGCUAACUACGUG